AUUGAACGCUGGCGGCAGGCCUAACACAUGCAAGUCGAGCGGAUGAAGGGAGCUUGCUCCUGGAUUCAGCGGCGGACGGGUGAGUAAUUCCUAGGAAUCUGCCUGGUAGUGGGGGAUAACGUCCGGAAACGGGCGCUAAUACCGCAUACGUCCUGAGGGAGAAAGUGGGGGAUCUUCGGACCUCACGCUAUCAGAUGAGCCUAGGUCGGAUUAGCUAGUUGGUGGGGUAAAGGCCUACCAAGGCGACGAUCCGUAACUGGUCUGAGAGGAUGAUCAGUCACACUGGAACUGAGACACGGUCCAGACUCCUACGGGAGGCAGCAGUGGGGAAUAUUGGACAAUGGGCGAAAGCCUGAUCCAGCAAUGCCGCGUGUGUGAAGAAGGUCUUCGGAUUGUAAAGCACUUUAAGUUGGGAGGAAGGGCAGUAAGUUAAUACCUUGCUGUUUUGACGUUACCAACAGAAUAAGCACCGGCUAACUUCGUG
This 484-nucleotide ribosomal RNA is filed under the name uncultured bacterium. RNAcentral's name for it is "partial 16S ribosomal RNA". It matches the Rfam family "Bacterial small subunit ribosomal RNA", at positions 30 to 507 of the family's 1533-position model. The record is from RNAcentral.